Perognathus longimembris pacificus (Pacific pocket mouse) is the source of this 1092-nucleotide long non-coding RNA. RefSeq lists it as uncharacterized. The transcript has 2 exons. NCBI's taxonomy places the organism in Eukaryota, Metazoa, Chordata, Mammalia, Rodentia, Heteromyidae. The record is from RefSeq and is a predicted model, not a curated record.
UUCCAUUAUCUGUUACUCUUCGCUGGAAUUUUUUGAAAUAAUGAAGUUCACUGAUACAACUGAUGGUAUGAGUUACAUUAAAAAAUAAAAAUCAUAAAGGUCUGGGGUCAGCAGACCUUUUCUGUACAAGGCUUGAGAGUAUUUUAUGCCAUUGAACCCAUAAAGUUCUGUGUCAAGAGACAUAAAACAAGGAGUCACUAUUUAUGAACAAGGAAGAGGGCUCUCAGUAAACUCCAAAUUCAAAUUUGCCAGUAUGUUUGGGAUUUUACAAUCUUCAAAACUGUGAGAAAUGAAUUUCUGUUGCUCAUAAGCCAUUCAGCAUUCAGUAUUUUGUUAUGGCAGUCUUAAAAGCAUAAGACAUAAACUAAUGUGCAUGUGUGUGUUCCAAUAAAACUUUAUUUAUGGGCUCAGAAUUCUGAACUUCACUCAUUUUUCACAUGAAAAUAUUUUAAUAUUUCUAACAACUAAAAAUGUUAUGAAGGCAUUUCUCAGUUUUCAGGCUAUACAAAAACAGGUGGCAAGCCAGUUUGGCCUACAGGCCAUAACUAUUCUGAUCCCUGAUACAGAUUACCCUAAUACUAAAAAAUAAAAAUAAAAUACAUCAACAGCAACUCUGAACUUAAGUCACAUUCUAACCUAGAUCUGUCAAUAUGCUAUUAUAUCCUCUGAAAUAGAAGCAAUACUAUACAAAUUACAGGAAAGUUCUAGUCUCAAAAGUCAAUACCAAAAUGCUAAUUAAGUCAGUGCUAUCUAAUAAUAUUUAAACAGGUUUAACUUUCCUCAAGUAUACCGUAAACCUUGGCAGUUCUCAUAUUAAUAGCAGAGGGGGUUGCUUUAUUUUUUUCUGAAACAGGGAGGGGCUCAUUAUGUAUACCAGGUUGGCCUCAAGCUUACAAUCCUGCUAGGCUGGGACUUCAGGCUUGAAACACUGUGCUUUGGCCCAAAAGAGUAUUUUUAGGACUAUCCUUGAAUAUCUAGGUUCGCUCCCCACCCCCUAGGAGUCAAUUAACCACUUGGGCACUGUGCCAAUUAUAAAUUUCUAUAGCACUGUAAAAGCUAUUUCCUGAAGCAUUGUUAAAUGUAUUAGGUAUU